UCAGUUUUACUAGCCCACUUGUGCCUGUUCAUUACAGCAUCUAUUCUCUCAUUGCUUGUGAGAGGUCUAAAAAAAAAGGUCUAGCUUCGCAACUGUUGAGCGUCAUGAAUAUUCAUGACUUUCCUCUGUUUUGUUGCAGAUUAAGGCAGAAGAGUUUAAAUGUUUCGACGCUCUCAAUUAAAGUAAGGUCGCUCACGGAGAAACAACAAAGAGUUUCAUCAAACAUUAUGGCUCCUUGGAACAUCAUAAGAUAUUUCUGAAG
Gadus morhua (Atlantic cod) is the source of this 262-nucleotide long non-coding RNA. RefSeq lists it as uncharacterized. Lineage: Eukaryota; Metazoa; Chordata; Actinopteri; Gadiformes; Gadidae. The transcript is spliced from 3 exons. The record is from RefSeq and is a predicted model, not a curated record.